AUUGAACGCUGGCGGCAGGCCUAACACAUGCAAGUCGAACGGUAACAGGAAGCAGCUUGCUGCUUUGCUGACGAGUGGCGGACGGGUGAGUAAUGUCUGGGAAACUGCCUGAUGGAGGGGGAUAACUACUGGAAACGGUAGCUAAUACCGCAUAACGUCGCAAGACCAAAGAGGGGGACCUUCGGGCCUCUUGCCAUCGGAUGUGCCCAGAUGGGAUUAGCUAGUAGGUGGGGUAACGGCUCACCUAGGCGACGAUCCCUAGCUGGUCUGAGAGGAUGACCAGCCACACUGGAACUGAGACACGGUCCAGACUCCUACGGGAGGCAGCAGUGGGGAAUAUUGCACAAUGAGCGCAAGCCUGAUGCAGCCAUGCCGCGUGUAUGAAGAAGGCCUUCGGGUUGUAAAGUACUUUCAGCGGGGAGGAAGGGAGUAAAGUUAAUACCUUUGCUCAUUGACGUUACCCGCAUAAGAAGCACCGGCUAACUCCGUG
RNAcentral lists this ribosomal RNA (490 nucleotides) under uncultured bacterium. RNAcentral describes it as "partial 16S ribosomal RNA". It matches the Rfam family "Bacterial small subunit ribosomal RNA", at positions 30 to 507 of the family's 1533-position model. The record is from RNAcentral.